GACGAACGCUGGCGGCGUGCUUAACACAUGCAAGUCGAACGGAAAGGCCCUGCUUUUGUGGGGUGCUCGAGUGGCGAACGGGUGAGUAACACGUGAGUAACCUGCCCUUGACUUUGGGAUAACUUCAGGAAACUGGGGCUAAUACCGGAUAGGAGCUCCUGCUGCAUGGUGGGGGUUGGAAAUUUUCGGCGGUUGGGGUUGGACUCGCGGCUUACCAGCUUGUUGGUUGGGUAGUGGCUUACCAAGGCUUGGGCGGGUAGGCGGCCUGGGAGGGUGACCGGCCACAUGGGGACUGAGAUACGGCCCAGACUCCUACGGGAGGCAGAAGGGGGGAAUAUUGCACAAUGGGCGGGAGCCGGAUGCGGAAACGCCGCGUGCGGAAUGACGGCCUGCGGGUUGUAAACCGCUUUCGCCUGUGACGAAGCGUGAGUGACGGUAAUGGGUAAAGAAGCACCGGCUAACUACGUG
RNAcentral lists this ribosomal RNA (468 nucleotides) under uncultured bacterium. Its description in RNAcentral is "partial 16S ribosomal RNA". It matches the Rfam family "Bacterial small subunit ribosomal RNA", at positions 28 to 507 of the family's 1533-position model. The record is from RNAcentral.